Molecule: long non-coding RNA, 1846 nt
Organism: Tympanuchus pallidicinctus (lesser prairie-chicken)
Lineage: Eukaryota; Metazoa; Chordata; Aves; Galliformes; Phasianidae
Exons: 4
Source: RefSeq, a predicted model, not a curated record
CUUGUUGUUAUGGUCUGGGAUGCUGCUAGGUGGCUCUUGGUCAAGGAACUGUAUGACUGGUCUUGUGAAAUUCAGAUGCCAACAAUUGGCUUGGAUGAGCAGCAGUGUAGCUGAGACCAGAGAGUUUCUCCAAUGUGAAACUGGGUUGGUAGCACAUGGGAUCUGAGGAGCUGCAGAGUGGAACUCCAGCUGGGCAGCUACUGAUCCUAGAAGGGCAAGUCCUUGAGCAUUAAAUGAAGGAAGCCCCAAAAUAUGAUGGGAGAAGAGCAGGAAGACUGGUUCCUGGCUUGGUACUUCAAGAUGUGGGGAGGAGUGGUUUUCUCAUUGUUUCUUUUAAGCAGUACUCUAUUUUUGUUCAAAACCCUCCUUUGCCUUGAGGAAGCUGUAUGUCACCGGCUGCCCCUGAUGCUGCUCGCUGAUGAACCAGAACUGCGGGCGAUGGAGAUGAAUCCAGGUCUGCUGGGAUAAUUGAGGUAGAUAAGAGAAUUGGAGCCUCCAGCUCAGUUGAAGAGUGAGAAGUGCUCGGUUGUGAGUUGGAGCCUGGAGGCACAGCAUGCAGCCAGCCUGGGGAGCAAGAACCAGCUCGCUCAGCUGGAUCCCGACAGCUCUUUCCAUGCACACACCUCCUCAGACAGCGUUUGCUUUCCAACCGGCAGGGUGGGGAGGGAGAAAAAGGAAGCUGGAAUGUGAGCUCCAAAGCGAGAACUCAAAAACAAUGUAAGAACUCCCAGGAAUGCGAGACGGGAGGGGAAAAAUUACCUGUAUUGUUUAAGACCUGUAACUCCAUGACCAAGCAGGUCUGUGUGCUCAGAUAUUUCCUCCAUCCAUCUGCAGGAGCUGUGCUGUGCUGCGUGGUCACCUCCUGGAGGGGAUUUGUGUGGAUGCUGUGGGGUCACAGUGGGAGUGGGGGAAGCAGCAGCGUGCUUUUCAUUUCUGUUGGCAGUUUUUGCUAAACACAGAUUGCCAUGUGCUGCGGCAAAGGCAACGUGGUAAAACAACUGAGACUGAAUGUGUGGAUCUGCUGCUUUUUUGGUUGGCAAGGGGAGGAACGUGCUGCGUCGCACCAAGCAGGAAUGUGGACAUCCUCAUCUGUUCGUUGGUUUUUUGGAUUUUUCCAGCCUGGCAUAGCAAACUGUUGAUGCCCAUUGGGAACUGACAGUGACUGGAUUCAGCAGGUACUGGGGCUCUCUGUGCUCCCCAUCCCCAGCCAGUGUGAUGCUCUGUGCACCCUGCUCUGCCUUCACUGCAGAUGCAGCUCUGGCUCUUUUGCACUCACUGAGCACCCGUGGGUGUUAUGUUGUGCACCCAAGGAUAGGUGCAGCAUGGUGUGGAUCCUGAAGGCUGCUUCCCUUGCAGACAGAGCUGCUCCUUGCUCUCAUGCCUUACUCUCUGCUAGGAGGUAAAAUGGGAAGGGUUUAAGGUACCUCAAAGAGGAACUGCAUGACCUGAGCUUCAAGCAGAGUUUGUAUGAGAUUUAUUUCUAAAGGAUAACUUGAAACAUUUAGCAACGCUUUGUUUUAUCUUCCACCUCGACACCAAAUUGUCGUUGUGCAGUAAUGGGGAGAAGCAAUAAAGGCUUUCUGCAUUUCCUGCUCCGCAUGAUGACCUGCAGCACCUUUCCUUGUGAAGAUUUCUAAUGCAAAGCUUUGUGGAGGACAGAGCCUGGCUUGAGUGUGAAAUGCAAACCCAGACAAUGUUAGAUGCAGAUCUGAGGUAGCAGAAGGGGGACAGGGUGCUGGAGUCCCGCAGUGCCCCUCAGUUUUGUGUGGGUGACAGCAUGGACUGGGUGUGUGUAGGGAAGGGGAGGAUGGAUGUGGGCAGAGCAGCAGUGCUGGCAGCUGGAGUA